UUGCUAUGAUGAAACUUAGUUUAUUGAUGGCAUUCGUAGAAUGCUUUGAGAUACUUCGGCAUUCAUGUCAAACCUGAGUAGUUUAUCUGAGCAA
Small nucleolar RNA from Vicia villosa (hairy vetch), 94 nucleotides. RefSeq annotates it as small nucleolar RNA snoR128. The transcript has a single exon. NCBI's taxonomy places the organism in Eukaryota, Viridiplantae, Streptophyta, Magnoliopsida, Fabales, Fabaceae. The record is from RefSeq and is a predicted model, not a curated record.